This 252-nucleotide ribosomal RNA is filed under the name uncultured microorganism. RNAcentral describes it as "partial small subunit ribosomal RNA". It matches the Rfam family "Bacterial small subunit ribosomal RNA", at positions 524 to 776 of the family's 1533-position model. The record is from RNAcentral.
UACGUAGGUGGCAAGCGUUGUCCGGAAUCAUUGGGCGUAAAGGGCGCGCAGGCGGUUCGGUAAGUCGGUCUUAAAAGUGCGGGGCUUAACCCCGUGAUGGGAUUGAAACUGCCGGACUGGAGUGUCGGAGAGGAAAGCAGAAUUCCUAGUGUAGCGGUGAAAUGCGUAGAGAUUAGGAAGAACACCGGUGGCGAAGGCGACUUUCUGGACGACAACUGACGCUGAGGCGCGAAAGCGUGGGGAGCAAACAGG